Molecule: ribosomal RNA, 212 nt
Filed under: uncultured bacterium
Lineage: Bacteria
Description: partial 16S ribosomal RNA
Rfam family: Bacterial small subunit ribosomal RNA
Source: RNAcentral
UACGGAGGGUGCAAGCGUUGUCCGGAAUUAUUGGCGUAAAGAGCUCGUAGGCGGUGUGUCGCGUCGGCCGUGAAAACCUGCAGCUUAACUGUGGGCGUGCGGUCGAUACGGGCAUCACUGGAGUUCGGCAGGGGAGACUGGAAUUCCUGGUGUAGCGGUGAAAUGCGCAGACUAUCAGGAGGAACACCGGUGGCGAAGGCGGGUCUCUGGGC